RNAcentral lists this long non-coding RNA (565 nucleotides) under Physcomitrium patens. RNAcentral's name for it is "long non-coding RNA (PPAT_LNC013205)". The record is from RNAcentral. Lineage: Eukaryota; Viridiplantae; Streptophyta; Bryopsida; Funariales; Funariaceae.
GACAACGUGAAGUCUUGUUUGAGAAUGCACCGGAUACCUGAUUGUGGAAGGUAAAAGAAAAUUACAACAAAAGGUCCUAAUAAUCCAAUAAGAUUAUAGAAAAAUUACAAUUAAACAGUAACAAUCAUGAUCAAACAUUAAGCAAGCUCAAUUAAAUUUUAUUGAAGUUAUAAAAGAAAUACAAAGAAAUCCUAAAGAAAUAUAAAAGAAUACUAAAGAAAACUUAGUCAAAUCCUAACAAAAAUCUAAAUAAACCUUAAAUUCUAAUCAAAUCCUAAUCCUAAUCUAACCUUAAUCAAACCUUAGACAAAUCCUAAAUCCUAACCAAAUCCUAAUCCUAACCAAAUCCUAAACUCUAAACCAAAUCCUAAAUCCUAAAUCAAAUCCUAACCAAAUCCUAAUCCAAAUCUUAAACCUUAAACCAAAUCCUAAUCCAAACCCUAAUCCAAAUCCUAAACCUUAAAUCAAAUCCUAAUUAAAUCCUAAAUCCUAAACCAAAUCCUAAUUCAAACCCUAAAUCCUAAAUCAAACCCUAUCCAAAUCCUAAAACCUAAACCAAAUCCUA